This 368-nucleotide ribosomal RNA is filed under the name Phymata borica. RNAcentral describes it as "partial 16S ribosomal RNA". The stretch from base 242 to 368 matches the Rfam family "Bacterial large subunit ribosomal RNA", at positions 2473 to 2600 of the family's 2925-position model. The record is from RNAcentral. Lineage: Eukaryota; Metazoa; Arthropoda; Insecta; Hemiptera; Phymatidae.
AUAUACUUAAAACUUAAUUUUUGAGUCAAAAAGCUUAAAUUUUAUUAAGGGACGAGAAGACCCUAUAGAACUUCAUUAGUUUAUUGGACCACACAAUUUUUUUGUUUACUUGUGUGGUUUAUGUAUAUUAAUUGUGUUGGGGUGACAUAGAAAUUUUAUUAACUUUCUUUUUUUAUAUUCAUUGAUUAGUGUGUUUUUAAGAUCCAGGUUUAUCUUGAUUAUAAGUUUAAGUUACCUUAGGGAUAACAGCGUAAUUCUUUUGGAGAGUUCUAAUCGAUGAAAGAGUUUGCGACCUCGAUGUUGGAUUAAAAUUAGUAUUAGGAGUAGAAGAUUAAAUACUAGGUCUGUUCGACCUUUAAAUUUUUACA